RNAcentral lists this long non-coding RNA (297 nucleotides) under Elaeis guineensis (African oil palm). RNAcentral's name for it is "long non-coding RNA (EGUI_LNC063686)". The record is from RNAcentral. Lineage: Eukaryota; Viridiplantae; Streptophyta; Magnoliopsida; Arecales; Arecaceae.
AGCUGCUCCCUGAUCUCCAUCAGCACUUGGGUUUUUGGAUUAUUGAGAGGGGCGUAGCUGUGGAAUCUUCUUUGGGGAGAGCUCCACCGAACUCUGCAAUUUGAGCUUCUCUGCCUACGAACUCAGGGGGCAGUUCGGAUACGCUUGUGUCUGGAGGGACUUCGAGAAUGUGGCCGAGCUUCACUCGGCCCUUUUUCAGCUAUGGGCUUGUUGGAGUCACCCGCCUGCCGCUCUUUCACGGCCUUCUCAUCCUUCAUCUUGAAGGCUUCCUCUACUCGGGCAUAUCCUUCGGUCCGA